GUCCACGCCGUAACGAUGAGUGCUAGACGUUGGGAAGCUUAGCUUUCAGUGUCGCAGCUAACGCAUUAAGCACUCCGCCUGGGAGUACGGUCGCAAGAUUAAACUCAAAGGAAUUGACGGGGCCCGCACAAGCGGUGGAGCAUGUGGUUAAUUCGAAGCAACGCGCAGAACCUUACCAACCCUUGACAUGGAAAGUAUGGGCUUCAGAGAUGAGGUCCUUCAGUUCGGCUGGCUUUUCACACAGGUGCUGCAUGGCUGUCGU
RNAcentral lists this ribosomal RNA (262 nucleotides) under uncultured bacterium. RNAcentral's name for it is "partial 16S ribosomal RNA". It matches the Rfam family "Bacterial small subunit ribosomal RNA", at positions 793 to 1055 of the family's 1533-position model. The record is from RNAcentral.